RNAcentral lists this long non-coding RNA (610 nucleotides) under Cricetulus griseus (Chinese hamster). Its description in RNAcentral is "lncRNA (ENSCGRG00000026097.1)". The record is from RNAcentral. Lineage: Eukaryota; Metazoa; Chordata; Mammalia; Rodentia; Cricetidae.
GGAAGACCAAUCCGACGCUACGAUUCCGAUUGGGCCACGCCUCCCAUGCUCAGAGCCCCUCCCAGGAAGGUCUCCGGUCAUCUCAGAGCCGCCCCUUCCGCCUGCGCCUCGCCCAGCCAGGCCGGCGCCGGAGCUGGGUCAGCGCAGUCAGUGAAAGCAGUGUACCGCCAUCUUUUUUGUGGGCAAAGAGUCCUUCGAGGUUUAUGUUUCCAAAGUAGGCUUCUCAGGAAGCCCAUAGAGAGACGUUCGAAAGAGAAUGGGCUCCUUGCACACUGAAAUACUGAGCCGAAUGGUUGGGGGUCGAAGUGGCAACCCAUGAAACCGAGAAUAAACGAGAGGCCUGCCCUGAGUAAAGUUGCAAAAGUUUCAGUCCAUGGACACUUGCUGCUGGAAGACAUGGGAGAGAGAGUCAAGCUACAGCAGUGGGACCAAACCUACAUUCAUCAUCUUCUGCCCUGUUUUACAAAGGAUUUGGGGAACGUUUGGAUCUGAUCUAGAAAAAUACUUUUCUGACCUCUGGGUCCCCACCCCCAGAGCUGGAAAAGCCAGAUCCUGUGUGGCUGGUUGGUCUUGUCAUCCUAUUGCCAUCAUCUCUGCAGAACAGACAUGA